GCAAACUUGGUCAUUUAGAGGAAGUAAAAGUCGUAACAAGGUAACCGUAGGUGAACCUGCGGUUGGAUCAUUAAAAAUUGUUUGGUCUCGUGCCAAAUCAACAUUUGUGUGCACCAUUGUCUGUUUUUGGUAGUUCGAGCUGCGCCUAUGUGGGACUCAACACCCCGCUGGCGCCUACCCCUUCUGCUUGCAUUUGGGGUUGGGCUACCGCCUUUUUGAACACACCUUACGAUUGUUUUUUAUGUCUGAACGAAAAGUUAAUCUUUGUUGAUUAAUGAUUCUUAUACAACUUUUGACAACGGAUCUCUUGGCUCUCGCAUCGAUGAAGAACGCAGC
This 336-nucleotide unclassified non-coding RNA is filed under the name uncultured fungus. RNAcentral's name for it is "partial contains small subunit ribosomal RNA, internal transcribed spacer 1, and 5.8S ribosomal RNA". The stretch from base 1 to 73 matches the Rfam family "Eukaryotic small subunit ribosomal RNA", at positions 1759 to 1831 of the family's 1831-position model. The record is from RNAcentral. Lineage: Eukaryota; Fungi.